Long non-coding RNA from Pangasianodon hypophthalmus (striped catfish), 802 nucleotides. RefSeq lists it as uncharacterized. Lineage: Eukaryota; Metazoa; Chordata; Actinopteri; Siluriformes; Pangasiidae. The transcript is spliced from 4 exons. The record is from RefSeq and is a predicted model, not a curated record.
AGACUGCGCAUGCGCACCACUUGCUUCCAGCGCAUGAACACAGACGGCGCCACACAGUCGCCUCAUCCUCCUCAGGGUUUUCAAGAAAAUGAGACCACAAGAUGGCGAUAUUGGAUAUCCAUUUGAUUACAGUGCAGGCUUGUAGAACUGCUGAUACAGAACUACAUCAUGCCUGGGACUGAUGUGUGAUGUGACGGUAUGAGGUCAGUGUGAGAAGAACAUCCAGGCUACAAACUUCACAUGGGAGACAGCUAUAGCUGAAGAUUUCCAAAUAAAGGGAAGCGAGCGAGAGAAAAGAGUGCUUGUGUGUGGAUUCUUGGAAUAUACUUCAAAGUUAGUGUAUCACCUGGCUUUCAUCAGUACAAAUACCAAUACUGUAAAAAACAAAGGAAUCUCAUCCCCAUGCUCGCAGGCGUGCUGCUGCUGUCUGAAGGACAGUUCUGUCAGUGAGAACAUCGUGGAGAAUGUGUUUUUCUUUGAACCCUUUUCUGUUGUGAAAUUGUACCAAGUGCCAAUAUUAUAUUACUGCAGCAAAAUUGGUUUGGAUGGAUAAUUUGUAUUUUGGUCUGGCAUAUGACCUGGAGAUGUAGAUAUUAGCCGUGUUCCAGUAGUAAAGAAAAACCAAACCAGACAAAAGAUAUACAGCUGACAUGUUGUAACUAGUCUUGUAAAAAAUAUAAAGCUUAAAUUACAGAAUAUUACAGUGUAGGAAAUACUGUAUACUCUGUGAUACAAUAAAUUGGUUACAUGCUUUGACUGUGUAUGAAAUAUACUCUAUAUGAUGAAUCAUUUAUUAUAUAUG